RNAcentral lists this long non-coding RNA (293 nucleotides) under Selaginella moellendorffii. Its description in RNAcentral is "long non-coding RNA (SMOE_LNC001158)". Lineage: Eukaryota; Viridiplantae; Streptophyta; Lycopodiopsida; Selaginellales; Selaginellaceae. The record is from RNAcentral.
GUACGAUCUCUCCCAUUUUUUUUUGGAGAGAAGAACUUGACUGUGUUGUGGCUUGCUUCUUUCAGAGUUGUUUGCUUAUGCGUAAAUCCCAAGAGCCAAAUUCUUAUGUCGGCUUCUCUAGACAAUACCGUGAGAAUAUGGGACCUGCGAUCAAACGUUUGUCAUGUCAGUAAUAACAGGAGGCUAUUUCUUACUUGUUGAUUUACCAGUUCCAUUUUUUUGAUCUUGUAGGGAUUGAUUCGCGUGCAUGGAAGACCAUCCGUAGCUUACGAUCACAGUGGACUUGUUUUUGG